GUGUACGGUCCUACCAGACCACAUGCUUUCGCGUCCAGCUAGCCUAGCAACUACUCCAAUGGGAGAGUUCACCAGUUCUCCCCACACAUCAAGUCCUAUUGUUUCUCUAAUGUGGGGGAAAAGUCUUGGACGGAAAUUGUGAUCAAUAUCUUUAUUUUCUAGGUUAGAAGACCCUUCAGGGUAAAGUCUUGUAGGGUAAUCCCGUGAUUUAACUUCAGCAACAUCCAUCUGAUCAUAUAACCCAACAAUAAAUCAGCCACAAGAUAACAAUAACACAGCCAUAACAUAACAAUAACUCAGCCACAAAAUAACAAAUUAACUCAGCCACAACAUAACAAUAACUCUGCCACAACAUAACAGUAACUCAGCCACAACAUAACAUUAAUUUAGUCACGACAUAGCCAUAACUCAGCCAUAACAUAACAAUUACUCAGUCAUAACAUAAACCUUACUCAGUCGCAACAAAACCCUAACUCAGACGCAACAAAACCCUCAACAAAACCAUAUCACAGCCGCAACAUAGCCCUAUCUCAGUCGCAACAAAAUAUAUAACUCAGAUGAAAUAUA
This 567-nucleotide long non-coding RNA is filed under the name Brassica napus (rape). Its description in RNAcentral is "long non-coding RNA (BNAP_LNC021559)". Lineage: Eukaryota; Viridiplantae; Streptophyta; Magnoliopsida; Brassicales; Brassicaceae. The record is from RNAcentral.